RNAcentral lists this transfer RNA (75 nucleotides) under Candidatus Hydrothermarchaeota archaeon. Its description in RNAcentral is "tRNA-Ile". It matches the Rfam family "tRNA". From Rfam's summary of the family: Transfer RNA (tRNA) molecules are approximately 80 nucleotides in length. Their secondary structure includes four short double-helical elements and three loops (D, anti-codon, and T loops). The record is from RNAcentral. Lineage: Archaea; Methanobacteriati; Candidatus Hydrothermarchaeota.
GGGCCCGUGGCUCAGCUUGGUUAGAGCGUCCGGCUGAUAACCGGGAGGUCCUGGGUUCGAAUCCCAGCGGGCCCA